GCCGGGCGUGGUGGCGCACGCCUGUAAUCCCAGCUACUCAGGAGGCUGAGGCAGGACAAUUGCUUGAACCUGGGAGGUGGAGGUUACAGUGAGCCGAGAUUGAGCCACUGUACUCCAGCCUGGGUGACAGAGCGAGACUCUGUCUUAA
Molecule: non-coding RNA, 148 nt
Filed under: Homo sapiens (human)
Lineage: Eukaryota; Metazoa; Chordata; Mammalia; Primates; Hominidae
Source: Rfam by way of RNAcentral